UACGUAGGUGACAAGCGUUAUCCGGAUUUACUGGGUGUGAAGGGAGCGCAGACGGUCAUGCAAGUCUGAAGUGAAACCCUACGGCUCAACCGUGGGCUUGCUUUGGAAACUGCGUGACUAGAGUGCUGGAGAGGUAAGCGGAAUUCCUAGUGUAGCGGUGAAAUGCGUAGAUAUUAGGAGGAACAUCGGUGGCGAAGGCGGCUUACUGGACAGCAACUGACGUUGAGGCUCGAAGGCGUGGGGAGCAAAC
Molecule: ribosomal RNA, 250 nt
Filed under: uncultured prokaryote
Description: partial 16S ribosomal RNA
Rfam family: Bacterial small subunit ribosomal RNA
Source: RNAcentral